AAAUUGAAGAGUUUGAUCAUGGCUCAGAUUGAACGCUGGCGGCAGGCCUAACACAUGCAAGUCGAACGGUAACAGGAAACAGCUUGCUGUUUCGCUGACGAGUGGCGGACGGGUGAGUAAUGUCUGGGAAACUGCCUGAUGGAGGGGGAUAACUACUGGAAACGGUAGCUAAUACCGCAUAAUGUCGCAAGACUAAAGAGGGGGACCUUCGGGCCUCUUGCCAUCGGAUGUGCCCAGAUGGGAUUAGCUAGUAGGUGGGGUAACGGCUCACCUAGGCGACGAUCCCUAGCUGGUCUGAGAGGAUGACCAGCCACACUGGAACUGAGACACGGUCCAGACUCCUACGGGAGGCAGCAGUGGGGAAUAUUGCACAAUGGGCGCAAGCCUGAUGCAGCCAUGCCGCGUGUAUGAAGAAGGCCUUCGGGUUGUAAAGUACUUUCAGCGGGGAGGAAGGGAGUAAAGUUAAUACCUU
Molecule: ribosomal RNA, 472 nt
Filed under: Escherichia coli
Lineage: Bacteria; Pseudomonadati; Pseudomonadota; Gammaproteobacteria; Enterobacterales; Enterobacteriaceae
Also listed under: 1 other name
Description: bacterial SSU rRNA
Rfam family: Bacterial small subunit ribosomal RNA
Source: RNAcentral